Anguilla rostrata (American eel) is the source of this 2539-nucleotide long non-coding RNA. RefSeq lists it as uncharacterized. The transcript has 3 exons. The record is from RefSeq and is a predicted model, not a curated record. Lineage: Eukaryota; Metazoa; Chordata; Actinopteri; Anguilliformes; Anguillidae.
AAAACUAAAGUUUUUUUUUUUGAGUUAUUUCACAAAACUGUCAGGGAGAUUGAAAAUUAAGCUGUCGUCCUCUCAGUGGCGGAACCGGAAAACUUGCCAGUGGACUAGAUCAUGUACCAUCCACUAUGAGAAGAGGUGAUUGCCAAAGGCUAUUAAACCAAAAAGAAUCUUAUUGGAUUGACAAACUGUGGGCCACUAAACAUCCUGGUCUUAACCCUCUAUGGUAUCGUGUUGCCUCUAGGUAACAUACCCAUUUUUGGCCUUUUACACUCACACAUUACAUCCUCAAUUAUGAUGCAAUACUUUGAAAAAGAGGCAGGGCCCUAAGGAAACCAAUAGCAGUGUUUUAAUUUGUCACGUGACUCUCUGGAGGCCAUUUUGAAUCCCUUUUCUGCAGCCUUUGCCACAUGGUUCAGCUCCAUCAUCUCUCUCCACAAAAUUGGUCUUAAAACGUCUUUUUGUGUCAUUUUACAAUCUGGAAAAAAUCGGAUUCACAAUAAUAGGGUGAGAAUGAGCCUGAGGAUGAAGAUGGGUGAAAUUGCAGCAACAGUUCCCCUUCAAGAAAUACCAAAAAGGGCCAAGGGACUAGAGUGGAAAAACUGUAGGACCAUUCUUCCUGUCCCACAAUGGAAAGGCGGUCUCCCACAAGCCACAGAAGUGAAGCCUCCAAUUGAAUACUUCAAUUAAAUUAAAUUAAAGGGUUAAUGAUUCAUUGGACUUUAUGCAGUUUUUGUGAUUGCAUGCUGAUUGUUAUAUUGCCUGUUUAUGCUUUUUUGACAAUUUUCUUUCCAUAUGUUGUCUAAUUACCUACGUAAAGUGUUGUCUAGAUACUCUGCCUCAUCCCCGCUGUACCUUUUUCUAGGUGAAUUACCUCCUGCCUCUGAACCGGCCCAUAUUUGGAUUGGUUCCUUCAAGACCACACCUUCUAUUAUGGUGUUUUUGUUUCUACAGACUCUAUUUAUACAGGUUGUGUAGGUAUCUGUUCCCCUUUGUUCCCUGAUGAAGACCGACGCUUGGCCGAAACAUGUUGGAGUUUUUAAUGUUCUAAUAUGAACAAGCCUUGUAUUAUUAUUUUAACUUUAUAAGAAUGCCUUGGUUCUACAUUUUUCUUUUUAUUGUUAAAAUGUUUUUUCAUAUUUCAUCCAGUUUAUUUAACUAGCAUCCUAGUGGUAGUAUUAAAUCAUUAUAGCAUAUUCAGUAGUGUAUUCGGUUGUGGUUUUAAACUUGUUUAAUAAUAUGUAAUUAUUUAGAAUCGAAAGUAAUGUCAGCUUUACUUCUGUGAUAUAUUUGUAUACAUAGAAAAACAAUUGGUUUGUGCUUUGUAUUAGCAAUCUGUCUUCACUUCUGACCAGCCCAGUUGCUUGUCUGGCUGUAUUUACUAUUCUAAAGUGUUCAGGUUGUUUCUGGGUGUGACCCUUUUUUCGUUGUGGGCUGUAUCUGAAAAGCAUGUGGCCAAUAGAAGGAGACAAAGAGGACAUGUAUGGAUUGGCUACUACAGUGGUGUGAUUUCAGCUGGGUUAGUGCUCCAAUGAUAAGGUCACCUUUGUGGCUAACCUAAUGCUAACCAAUUGGCUGGGCUCUGUUCGGUAACGUAACUAAAUUCAGUUAUGUUUGGCAUUAACAUUAACUGCCUGACGAAGAGGGGUUGAGAAUUUGCUGUUGGUCUUAUAUUUUACAAAGUAACAAAUUAUGGCUGGAGAAUAAGAUUCCAAUUCAGUCAAAUAAGAUUCCAAUCCAGUCGGCUCAUUUGGGCUAGCUAGCUAUCUUUAGCUAGGUAAUAGGGGCUGAGUCUACCAGUCUGAAAAUCCUUCUGUGCCACAGUUAUUUUCUGGAUAUGACUGUAGUUUGAUUACAACAGACUAAUAUCUGUGGUUGGAGAGACAAAUUUCAUUUUUCACUCAAUUCAGUUUUGAUUGUAAAUACAGGAGAUAAGCAAGGGGAAAAAAUUCUGUAUGUUAUUUAACACUGAGAGGUAUAGGAUCUAUUAUGAGGGGGCAGCGUGGUUGUGGUGCCAGCUGCAGGCGGAGAGAUGGGUGUGGUUUAGCUGGCCGGCAAUCGCAGCUGUGGGCAGUUACAUGAUUAGUUCUAACGUUUAUUUGUGCUUUAUUUGUCCUGAAGUGAGACCGGGGAUGAUGUAUGCACACGGUCACGGACAGCAAAGCAACAGCAACGACAACAAAAACCAGCACAAUUACAGUGACAGUAUUGUGGUCCAUGUAUUUAAUAAACCGUGUGUAUGCUCCAUGCUUGUGUGGUUCUGUGGGACUGGUUACACUAGUUUCCCCAUUUUGGGGGGCCCUCUGAUUUUUGCUUUUUUUUUCAUAUAAUUUUUUCAGUACAAAAUUGCCCUCUCUGUUAUUUAUUGUAGAUUCAUGUUAGGAGACUAUAAUAUGGUAAAUUGACAGAAAAGCCAAGAAAAGGACAUAUUGAGUUUAUUGAUAAAACAUAGCACACAACAUGAUGGAAGACGUUUAUAUAAUAUUGAUUUUUUAUGGCAUUGGGUAAGAAAUGCACUUCAAAUAAACACGACAGACCACGC